RNAcentral lists this ribosomal RNA (35 nucleotides) under Colletotrichum salicis. RNAcentral describes it as "partial 28S ribosomal RNA". Lineage: Eukaryota; Fungi; Ascomycota; Sordariomycetes; Glomerellales; Glomerellaceae. The record is from RNAcentral.
GUUGACCUCGGAUCAGGUAGGACUACCCGCUGAAU